Hyla sarda is the source of this 392-nucleotide long non-coding RNA. RefSeq lists it as uncharacterized. The transcript has 3 exons. The record is from RefSeq and is a predicted model, not a curated record. Lineage: Eukaryota; Metazoa; Chordata; Amphibia; Anura; Hylidae.
CGGCCUCCCAUCCGUCAGCACAACCCCCCCCCCCCCCGCGCUGUGUGUGCCCGUCCAUCAGCAACCCCCCUCUUUCUCCUGCACUGUGCGCCCGUCCAUCAUCACACACCCCCUCACCUUCACCAGCAUUGUGCCCGGCCUCCGCUCCCACGUCUGCGCCGGCCUGACGUCACACCGUAUGGCCGCGCAGGAGGACGUCAGUUACGUCACUCGCACGGCGCCCGGUGAGAAGGAGCGCUGCGCUGGAUGGAGGAUGAGAAUGCGCUGACAUAGUGAGGAGACGUGUGGGCAUCACAUUCUGCAGAGAGAAGUUUUAGCUGGAACAAGUCCUGGCGAUCUUGCUUUAACUUCCACUGUUCCUGAUGACUGCCAUUUCUUAAUUACAUUCCGAA